Molecule: ribosomal RNA, 485 nt
Filed under: Flavobacteriaceae bacterium JJ-2788
Lineage: Bacteria; Pseudomonadati; Bacteroidota; Flavobacteriia; Flavobacteriales; Flavobacteriaceae
Description: bacterial SSU rRNA
Rfam family: Bacterial small subunit ribosomal RNA
Source: RNAcentral
AGAGUUUGAUCCAUGGCUCAGGAUGAACGCUAGCGGCAGGCUUAACACAUGCAAGUCGAGGGGUAGAGUAGCAAUACUUGAGACCGGCGCACGGGUGCGUAACGCGUAUGCAAUCUACCUUUUACAGAGGGAUAGCCCAGAGAAAUUUGGAUUAAUACCUCAUAGUAUAACGACCUGGCAUCAGGAUGUUAUUAAAGUCACAACGGUAAAAGAUGAGCAUGCGUCCCAUUAGCUAGUUGGUAAGGUAACGGCUUACCAAGGCUACGAUGGGUAGGGGUCCUGAGAGGGAGAUCCCCCACACUGGUACUGAGACACGGACCAGACUCCUACGGGAGGCAGCAGUGAGGAAUAUUGGUCAAUGGGCGCAAGCCUGAACCAGCCAUGCCGCGUGCAGGAUGACGGUCCUAUGGAUUGUAAACUGCUUUUGUACAGGAAGAAACACUCCCUCGUGAGGGAGCUUGACGGUACUGUAGAAUAGGAUCGGC